RNAcentral lists this ribosomal RNA (536 nucleotides) under Rhodotorula diobovata. RNAcentral's name for it is "partial large subunit ribosomal RNA". It matches the Rfam family "Eukaryotic large subunit ribosomal RNA", at positions 121 to 669 of the family's 3401-position model. Lineage: Eukaryota; Fungi; Basidiomycota; Microbotryomycetes; Sporidiobolales; Sporidiobolaceae. The record is from RNAcentral.
UCUGGCACCUUCGGUGUCCGAGUUGUAAUCUCUAGAAGUGUUUUCCGCGUUGGACCGCACACAAGUCUGUUGGAAUACAGCGGCAUAGUGGUGAAACCCCCGUAUAUGGUGCGGACGCCCAGCGCUUUGUGAUACACUUUCAAUGAGUCGAGUUGUUUGGGAAUGCAGCUCAAAUUGGGUGGUAAAUUCCAUCUAAAGCUAAAUAUUGGCGAGAGACCGAUAGCGAACAAGUACCGUGAGGGAAAGAUGAAAAGCACUUUGGAAAGAGAGUUAACAGUACGUGAAAUUGUUGGAAGGGAAACGCUUGAAGUCAGACUUGCUUGCCGGAGCUUGCUUCGGUUUGCAGGCCAGCAUCAGUUUUCCGGGGUGGAUAAUGACGGUUUGAAGGUAGCAGUCUCGGCUGUGUUAUAGCUUUCCGUUGGAUACGCCCUGGGGGACUGAGGAACGCAGCGUGCUUUUUGCGAAAGACUCGUCUUUUUCACGCUUAGGAUGCUGGUGGAAUGGCUUUAAACGACCCGUCUUGAAACACGGACCAA